RNAcentral lists this ribosomal RNA (406 nucleotides) under uncultured bacterium. Its description in RNAcentral is "partial 16S ribosomal RNA". It matches the Rfam family "Bacterial small subunit ribosomal RNA", at positions 29 to 526 of the family's 1533-position model. The record is from RNAcentral.
AUUGAACGCUGGCGGCAGGCCUAACACAUGCAAGUCGAACGAGUGGCAGACGGGUGAGGAAUGUCUGGGAAAAUGCCCGAUGGCGGGGGAUAAGGACUGGAUACGGGAGCCAAUACCGCAUACCAUCGGAUGUGCCCAGCUGGGAUUAGCUAGGAGGUGGGGUAACGGCUAACCUAGGCAACGAUCCCUAGCUGGUCUGAGAGGAUGAACAGCCACCCCGGAACUGGGACACGGUCCAGACUCCUACGGGAGGCAGCAGUGGGGAAUAUUGCACAAGGGGCGCAAGCCUGAUGCAGCCAUGCCGCGUGUAUGAAGAAGGCCUUCGGGUUGUAAAGUAUUUUCAGCGAGGAGGCGUUACUCGCAGAAGAAGCACCGGCUAACUCCGUGCCAGCAGCCGCGGUAAUAC